This 468-nucleotide ribosomal RNA is filed under the name uncultured bacterium. RNAcentral's name for it is "partial 16S ribosomal RNA". It matches the Rfam family "Bacterial small subunit ribosomal RNA", at positions 28 to 507 of the family's 1533-position model. The record is from RNAcentral.
GACGAACGCUGGCGGCGUGCUUAACACAUGCAAGUCGAACGGAAAGGCCCUGCUUUUGUGGGGUGCUCGAGUGGCGAACGGGUGAGUAACACGUGAGUAACCUGCCCUUGACUUUGGGAUAACUUCAGGAAACUGGGGCUAAUACCGUAUAGGAGCUCCUGCUGCAUUGUGGGGGUUGGAAAUUUUCGGCGGUUGGGGAUGGACUCGCGGCUUAUCAGCUUGUUGGUGGGGUAGUGGCUUACCCAGGCUUUGACGGGUAGCCGGCAUGAGAGGGUGACCGGCGACAUGGGGACUGAGAGACGGACCAGACGCCUACGGGAGGCAGUAGUGGGGAAUAUGGCACAAUGGGCGGAAGCCUGAGGCAGCAACGCCGCGUGCGGGAUGACGGCUUUCGGGUUGUAAACCGCUGUCGCCUGUGACGAAGCGGGAGUGACGGUAAUGGGUAAAGAAGCACCGGCUAACUACGUG